AGAAUCAACGCUGGCGGCGUGCCUAACACAUGCAAGUCGAACGAGAAAGUGGAGCAAUCCAUUAGUAAAGUGGCGCACGGGUGAGUAACACGUGACUAACCUACCCUUGAGUGGGGGAUAACCUAGAGAAAUCUGGGCUAAUACCGCAUAAUACCUUCGGGUCAAAGGAGCAAUUCGCUUAAGGAGGGGGUCGCGGCCGAUUAGUUAGUUGGCGGGGUAAUGGCCCACCAAGACUAUGAUCGGUAUCCGGCCUGAGAGGGCGCACGGACACACUGGAACUGAAACACGGUCCAGACUCCUACGGGAGGCAGCAGUGGGAAUUUGCGCAAUGGGGGAAACCCUGACGCAGCAACGCCGCGUGGAGGAUGAAGCCCCUUGGGGCGUAAACUCCUUUCGAUCGGGACGAUAAUGACGGUACCGAGAGAAGAAGCCCCGGCUAACUUCGCGCCAGCAGCCGC
RNAcentral lists this ribosomal RNA (458 nucleotides) under uncultured bacterium. RNAcentral's name for it is "SSU rRNA". It matches the Rfam family "Bacterial small subunit ribosomal RNA", at positions 26 to 518 of the family's 1533-position model. The record is from RNAcentral.